UAUGACAUUAGCACGGAAGACUAUGUUCAAUUCCUCUGCUCCAUGGGCUACAGCAGCUCAUCCAUUAGCAGCUUAACCAAGGCCGCCAUAAACUGCAAGCAAAACUACCACAUUAAGUUGAAUCUGAACCUCCCUUCUAUCACUAUCCCAAAUCUAAACAGAAAAUUAACGGUGUCGAGAAAGGUGACAAAUGUUGGAACCAUAAAUUCGGUGUAUAAAGCAAUAGCGCAGGCUCCAUUCGGCAUAAGGAUGACAAUAGAGCCACAAAUUUUAAGCUUCAACUCGACCACCAAAAGUGCUUCCUUUGAAAUUACCUUCUUUUCGACUCAAAAAGUGCAGGGAUAUUACAAAUUUGGGAGCUUGACAUGGACCGAUGGCAAGCAUUUCGUUAGGAGUCCAAUAGCAGUAAGGGAUAUUAAAUCAUAUGCAGAUGUAUGAAAUUGCGGAAAUAUUGAAUGCUAUGCAUUAUGCAAUAAAGAAAUUUUAGCGAAUUUGAUAAUUUGAUUGCUUGCCUCUGUUUAAUCUUUAGAAAUCACCAUCUCUGUAACUCCAAUUUGAGCUCUGACACCGAGAGAGAAGCAACCAAUUUACCGGAAGAGAACUGCAAUAAUUUGUAGAGCCAAUAAACGAUGAUACGAUCUGUAGCUGAA
Molecule: long non-coding RNA, 650 nt
Filed under: Jatropha curcas
Lineage: Eukaryota; Viridiplantae; Streptophyta; Magnoliopsida; Malpighiales; Euphorbiaceae
Description: long non-coding RNA (JCUR_LNC002841)
Source: RNAcentral